RNAcentral lists this ribosomal RNA (506 nucleotides) under uncultured bacterium. RNAcentral's name for it is "partial 16S ribosomal RNA". It matches the Rfam family "Bacterial small subunit ribosomal RNA", at positions 29 to 523 of the family's 1533-position model. The record is from RNAcentral.
AUUGAACGCUGGCGGCAGGCCUAACACAUGCAAGUCGGACGGUAGCACAGGGGAGCUUGCUCCUCGGGUGACGAGUGGCGGACGGGUGAGUAAUGUCUGGGGAUCUGCCCGAUAGAGGGGGAUAACCACUGGAAACGGUGGCUAAUACCGCAUAAUGUCGCAAGACCAAAGAGGGGGACCUUCGGGCCUCUCACUAUCGGAUGAACCCAGAUGGGAUUAGCUAGUAGGCGGGGUAACGGCCCACCUAGGCGACGAUCCCUAGCUGGUCUGCGAGGAUGACCAGCCACACUGGAACUGAGACACGGUCCAGACUCCUACGGGAGGCAGCAGUGGGGAAUAUUGCACAAUGGGCGCAAGCCUGAUGCAGCCAUGCCGCGUGUAUGAGGAAGGCCUUCGGGUUGUAAAGUACUUUCAGCGGGGAGGAAGGCGAUGUGGUUAAUAACCGCGUCGAUUGACGUUACCCGCAGAAGAAGCACCGGCUAACUCCGUGCCAGCCGCCGCCGUAA